UGCGUGAACUGAAUGAACGAAAGGAACAAAGAGGAACCAAAAGACCAAAUUAAAUAGAAACAAAAGACAAAUGAAGUGCGUGCUUUUGUUUCAUUUAAUUUGUUCUUUUGUGUCCUUU
RNAcentral lists this non-coding RNA (118 nucleotides) under Symbiodinium sp. CCMP2430. Lineage: Eukaryota; Dinophyceae; Suessiales; Symbiodiniaceae. The record is from RNAcentral.